AUUGAACGCUGGCGGCAGGCCUAACACAUGCAAGUCGAACGGUAGCAGGAAGAAGCUUGCUUCUUUGCUGACGAGUGGCGGACGGGUGAGUAAUGUCUGGGAAACUGCCUGAUGGAGGGGGAUAACUACUGGAAACAGUAGCUAAUACCGCAUAACGUCGCAAGACCAAAGAGGGGGACCUUCGGGCCUCUUGCCAUCAGAUGUGCCCAGAUGGGAUUAGCUAGUAGGUGGGGUAACGGCUCACCUAGGCGACGAUCCCUAGCUGGUCUGAGAGGAUGACAAGCCACACUGGAACUGAGACACGGUCCAGACUCCUACGGGAGGCAGCAGUGGGGAAUAUUGCACAAUGGGCGCAAGCCUGAUGCAGCCAUGCCGCGUGUAUGAAGAAGGCCUUCGGGUUGUAAAGUACUUUCAGCGGGGAGGAAGGCGGUGAAGUUAAUAGCUUCACCGAUUGACGUUACCCGCAGAAGAAGCACCGGCUAACUCCGUGCCAGCCGCCGCCGUAA
RNAcentral lists this ribosomal RNA (506 nucleotides) under uncultured bacterium. RNAcentral describes it as "partial 16S ribosomal RNA". It matches the Rfam family "Bacterial small subunit ribosomal RNA", at positions 30 to 523 of the family's 1533-position model. The record is from RNAcentral.